This 697-nucleotide long non-coding RNA is filed under the name Mus musculus (house mouse). Its description in RNAcentral is "predicted gene, 48383". The record is from RNAcentral. Lineage: Eukaryota; Metazoa; Chordata; Mammalia; Rodentia; Muridae.
UGCUCCUUUGCCUGCUUGCUGCGUGAGACUGAGUAACUGCUAGAUCCUUGGACUUCCAUUCACAGCUGCGACUGAACAAUUGUUGGGAAUUCGGCUGCCGACUACCACUUGACUGCUCGGUCCUCUGCAGACAGUCCCAGGAGACACACAACCUGCUCCAAACACACUAGUUAAAGACCCAGAAGACCUCUGCCACACUAUCAAGCAGUGCCUUCUGGUGGCCAAAGCCGCAAGGCAGCUGACUGACCCUGGGAAAGUGCAGCCUGCAGAAGAGAGCCUCUGAGAGAGCUCCACCAGCUAGGGCCCAAGCCUUCAACGGAUGCAUGAGCCCAGGAGGACACUUCAUAUUCAAAUCUGCACACAAAUCUUGCUAUUCUACGCAACAAUCUAGAAAUCCUUCUCCUAUGACACAGACUCUCUAUUUCUGGGAACUUUGUGAUGGGAACCAAGAGGAACCAACACAAAGGCCGGGCUACGAGGAUGCACCUGACUUAGGGAUAAUGGUGAGACGCUAAAACAAGAGACAAGUCCAAAGUAGAAGCCUAAGUGACACCUUGCCCACACAAGGAAAGAAACCUGGGUAGCUCCUCAAAACUGCAGAAAUCAUCUAUUGUUGGGAAAGGUGUUCAAGAGCUCUCACAAGGUGGAAAUAUACAAGUCAUGGGUCGGAGUAUGUAAUAAAAUUUCAUCCUUAUAG